GAUGAACGCUGGCGGCGUGCCUAACACAUGCAAGUCGAACGGGAUGCGUAUCGGAAAGCUUCGGCCGGAAGAUACGUUAUCUAGUGGCGGACGGGUGAGUAACACGUGGGUAACCUGCCUUAUGGAGGGGGAUAACAGAGAGAAAUCACUGCUAAUACCGCAUAAGCACACAGUACCGCAUGGUACAGGGUGAAAAGAUUUAUCGCCAUAAGAUGGACCCGCGUCUGAUUAGCCAGUUGGCAGGGUAAAAGCCUACCAAAGCAACGAUCAGUAGCCGAUCUGAGAGGAUGACCGGCCACAUUGGGACUGAGACACGGCCCAAACUCCUACGGGAGGCAGCAGUGGGGAAUAUUGCACAAUGGGGGAAACCCUGAUGCAGCGACGCCGCGUGAGUGAAGAAGUAUUUCGGUAUGUAAAGCUCUAUCAGCAGGGAAGAUAAUGACAGUACCUGACUAAGAAGCCCCGGCUAACUACGUGCCAGCAGCCGCGGUAAUACGUAGGGGGCAAGCGUUAUCCGGAUUUACUGGGUGUAAAGGGAGCGUAGACGGAGUGGCAAGUCUGAAGUGAAAACCCUGGGCUUAACCUGGGGACUGCUUUGGAAACUGUUAAUCUAGAGUGUUGGAGAGGUAAGUGGAAUUCCUGGUGUAGCGGUGAAAUGCGUAGAUAUCAGGAAGAACACCGGAGGCGAAGGCGGCUUACUGGACAAUAACUGACGUUGAGGCUCGAAAGCGUGGGGAUCAAACAGG
This 746-nucleotide ribosomal RNA is filed under the name uncultured Oribacterium sp. RNAcentral describes it as "bacterial SSU rRNA". It matches the Rfam family "Bacterial small subunit ribosomal RNA", at positions 28 to 776 of the family's 1533-position model. Lineage: Bacteria; Bacillati; Bacillota; Clostridia; Lachnospirales; Lachnospiraceae. The record is from RNAcentral.